AAAGGAUGAGGACAGCAAGACAACUGGACCCCAAGCUCACCACCUCAGGGCUCGAGGGGUGCCAGCCCCUGCCACUCUGCCUCACUGCCAGUCAGAGCUGCUGCGGCAUGCUGUGAGCUGGUAGUCAGGUCACUUGUUAUCUCUGGCCUCAGUGUCCUUAUCUGCAAAAGAAGACAGUAAUCUCCGUGCAUUGCUAUGGAAAUGAAGUGAGCAUUACACAGCCUGGAACCUGGUAGGCCCUCCAUGGACUAGCUGGAACUGAGCUCUCUUCUAGCUCUCAAAAGUUGAGCAUAGGAUUCUGAAAUGAGCCAAUACCACCACCAUUACCACCUCCACCACCCCCAAUACAGUCACCACCUCCAUCCUCGCCACCAUCACCACCAAUAACACCACCAAUACGAUCACCACCUCCACCAUCACCUCCCUCACCAUCACAACCUCCAUCACCCCCACCAUCACCAUCGUCACUAUCACCAACACCAUUAUCCCUGCCUUCACCACCACCACCUCCACCACCACCAAUACCGUUGUCACCUCAACUACCUCAUCACCACCACUACCAUUACCACUAUCCCACAACCACCACACACAAAAUAAUGCUUUUUUCAACUUGAGACCCAGAGAGAAGGAAAACAGGGUGAAGAACGGUGCUGUUUCUCUGG
This 662-nucleotide long non-coding RNA is filed under the name Equus caballus (horse). RNAcentral's name for it is "lncRNA (ENSECAG00000046667.1)". Lineage: Eukaryota; Metazoa; Chordata; Mammalia; Perissodactyla; Equidae. The record is from RNAcentral.